UGGUCCAUGGCUGAGUUGGUUACAGCGUCCGACUAUUAAUGUCGAGUUCAAGGUGAUCGGAAGGUCGAGCGUUCGAGCACAUCUGGGGCAG
Non-coding RNA from Armillaria mellea, 91 nucleotides. The record is from the annotation of a GenBank genome assembly. Lineage: Eukaryota; Fungi; Basidiomycota; Agaricomycetes; Agaricales; Physalacriaceae.